This 212-nucleotide ribosomal RNA is filed under the name uncultured yeast. Its description in RNAcentral is "partial 26S ribosomal RNA". It matches the Rfam family "Eukaryotic large subunit ribosomal RNA", at positions 38 to 244 of the family's 3401-position model. The record is from RNAcentral. Lineage: Eukaryota; Fungi.
GCAUAUCAAUAAGCGGAGGAAAAGAAACUAACUAGGAUUCCCUUAGUAACGGCGAGUGAACCGGGAUGAGCUCAAAUUUAAAAUCUGGCGUCUUUCAGGCGUCCGAGUUGUAAUCUAUAGAGGCGUUUUCCGCGCCGGACCGCGUCCAAGUCUCUUGGAAUAGAGUAUCAAAGAGGGUGACAAUCCCGUACUUGACGCGACAACCGGUGCUC